This is a non-coding RNA of Danio rerio (zebrafish), 245 nucleotides long. NCBI's taxonomy places the organism in Eukaryota, Metazoa, Chordata, Actinopteri, Cypriniformes, Danionidae. The record is from RefSeq and is a predicted model, not a curated record.
CUGCUGAGUUGAAGGGAUCCUCCUGUCAGAAAACCUCUCCAAAGUACAAUAGGACUAGGUUCCCACUACAAGGAUUAGAUUUGGCUACUGCAGUCCCGGUUUAGGCCAGCCUCACUUGUGAAGACUAAAGAUGAAGACAACAUACAAGAAAAAUUUAGAGGAUGGCGACACACUUUUUAUUCCACCUAUAUAUCUCCUUUUAUGUGUAAGCAACAUUCCGCAAGAUUAAACAAAACUAAACGACA